GACCGCGUAGCCCAGUUGGCAGAGCAUUGGGCUAGCAUUCCAAAGGUCGUAGGUUCGAAUCCCACCGCCGGUCA
This 74-nucleotide transfer RNA is filed under the name Paramuricea clavata. RNAcentral's name for it is "tRNA-Ala". It matches the Rfam family "tRNA". From Rfam's summary of the family: Transfer RNA (tRNA) molecules are approximately 80 nucleotides in length. Their secondary structure includes four short double-helical elements and three loops (D, anti-codon, and T loops). Further hydrogen bonds mediate the characteristic L-shaped molecular structure. tRNAs have two regions of fundamental functional importance: the anti-codon, which is responsible for specific mRNA codon recognition, and the 3' end, to which the tRNAs corresponding amino acid is attached (by aminoacyl-tRNA synthetases). tRNAs cope with the degeneracy of the genetic code in two manners: having more than one tRNA (with a specific anti-codon) for a particular amino acid; and 'wobble' base-pairing, i.e. permitting non-standard base-pairing at the 3rd anti-codon position. Lineage: Eukaryota; Metazoa; Cnidaria; Anthozoa; Malacalcyonacea; Plexauridae. The record is from RNAcentral.